This 384-nucleotide transfer-messenger RNA is filed under the name Oceanispirochaeta crateris. RNAcentral's name for it is "Standard tmRNA". It matches the Rfam family "transfer-messenger RNA". From Rfam's summary of the family: Bacterial tmRNA, also known as 10Sa RNA or SsrA, is named for its dual tRNA and mRNA-like properties. Its role is to liberate the mRNA from a stalled ribosome. Lineage: Bacteria; Pseudomonadati; Spirochaetota; Spirochaetia; Spirochaetales; Spirochaetaceae. The record is from Rfam by way of RNAcentral.
GGGGGUGUCAAGGUUUCGACUGUUGGAUACCGUUUGUCGGGUUGCAGGUGGAGCGUUAUCUCCUUAAACUGUCAAAAUUUUUAAGUGCCAAAAAAGAAGACGUUGUUGUCGUUUCUUUCGACAACACAGCACUUACACUCGCAGCUUAAUAUAAGUUAGCGACGGGCACCUUAGGCGCCGUUCUGAGCUUGAGACUGUCCGCCAGAAAUCAGGACUUUACCUUUUCUUCCGUCCGGGGAGGGAGAGGGACAAUUUUCCGGAAGUAGGAUUUUGCAGGGUUGUUUUCUCCUCUCGUAAAAUCCGAAUCACCAAGUAGAGACUAAACCUGUAGAGGCCUUGCUUGCGCCCAAUAGGACGCGGGUUCGAUUCCCGCCACCUCCAUUA